RNAcentral lists this ribosomal RNA (468 nucleotides) under uncultured bacterium. Its description in RNAcentral is "partial 16S ribosomal RNA". It matches the Rfam family "Bacterial small subunit ribosomal RNA", at positions 28 to 507 of the family's 1533-position model. The record is from RNAcentral.
GACGAACGCUGGCGGCGUGCUUAACACAUGCAAGUCGAACGGAAAGGCCCUGCUUUUGUGGGGUGCUCGAGUGGCGAACGGGUGAGUAACACGUGAGUAACCUGCCCUUGACUUUGGGAUAACUUCAGGAAACUGGGGCUAAUACCGGAUAGGAGCUCCUGCUGCAUGGUGGGGGUUGGAAAGUUUCGGCGGUUGGGGAUGGCCUCGCGGCUUAUCAGCUUGUUGGUGGGGUAGUGGCUUACCAAGGCUUUGACGGGUAGCCGGCCUGAGAGGGUGACCGGCCACAGUGGGACUGAGAUACGGCCCAGACUCCUACGGGAGGCAGCAGUGGGGAAUAUUGCACAAUGGGCGGAAGCCUGAUGCAGCAACGCCGCGUGCGGGAUGACGGCCUUCGGGUUGUAAACCGCUUUCGCCUGUGACGAAGCGGGAGUGACGGUAAUGGGUAAAGAAGCACCGGCUAACUACGUG